UACAUAGGGGGCAAGCGUUAUCCGGAAUUACUGGGUGUAAAGGGUGCGUAGGCGGUCAUGUAAGUCAGAUGUGAAAACCCAAGGCUUAACUUUGUGAAUGCAUUUGAAACUAUGUGACUAGAGGACAUGAGAGGUAAGUAGAAUUUCUAGUGUAGCUGUAAAAUGCGUAGAUAUUAGUAAGAACACCAGUGGCGAAAGCGUCUUACUGGACUGACACUGACGCUGAGGCACGAACGCUUGGAGCGAUAACACG
Molecule: ribosomal RNA, 253 nt
Filed under: uncultured bacterium
Lineage: Bacteria
Description: partial 16S ribosomal RNA
Rfam family: Bacterial small subunit ribosomal RNA
Source: RNAcentral